RNAcentral lists this long non-coding RNA (265 nucleotides) under Phoenix dactylifera (date palm). RNAcentral's name for it is "long non-coding RNA (PDAC_LNC010093)". The record is from RNAcentral. Lineage: Eukaryota; Viridiplantae; Streptophyta; Magnoliopsida; Arecales; Arecaceae.
CUGGAGGCAGCGGGAGCUUCUUCUGCGGCGGCUCCUCGUCUUUUUCGUGAGGCGUGGAUGGCGCCUCUGGGUAGGAGCAGUGUGGACUUCUCCUUCGUCCACUUCUUCUUCAUCCGCGCUGGCUCUUCGUCUUUUUCGUGAGACGUCGAUGGCGCCUCCGGUUGGAAGCACCCACUUCCGGUGGGAUUGCAGCCGCUUCGGAUGGAGGUUUCGGGAUCCCAGAUCUUCAGCUCCUCGGAGUCUCCACCUCUUCUUUACUUUCUUU